UAUGUCCAGACCACCCUGAAUGUGCCCAAUCUUUCUCUGACCUCAGAAGCCAUGCAGGGUUGGGCUUGGGUGGUGCUUGGAUGGCAGAUUUGUGUGACUCAAAGUGAAAACUUUC
This 115-nucleotide ribosomal RNA is filed under the name Otolemur garnettii (small-eared galago). The record is from RNAcentral. Lineage: Eukaryota; Metazoa; Chordata; Mammalia; Primates; Galagidae.